Molecule: ribosomal RNA, 643 nt
Filed under: uncultured bacterium
Lineage: Bacteria
Description: bacterial SSU rRNA
Rfam family: Bacterial small subunit ribosomal RNA (bases 1-542)
Source: RNAcentral
CCUACGGGAGGCAGCAGUGGGGAAUUUUGGACAAUGGGCGCAAGCCUGAUCCAGCAAUGCCGCGUGCAGGAUGAAGGCCUUCGGGUUGUAAACUGCUUUUGUACGGAACGAAACGGUGAGCUCUAAUACAGUUUGCUAAUGACGGUACCGUAAGAAUAAGCACCGGCUAACUACGUGCCAGCAGCCGCGGUAAUACGUAGGGUGCGAGCGUUAAUCGGAAUUACUGGGCGUAAAGCGUGCGCAGGCGGUGAUGUAAGACAGAUGUGAAAUGCCCGGGCUCAACCUGGGACCUGCAUUUGUGACUGCAUCGCUAGAGUACGGUAGAGGGGGAUGGAAUUCCGCGUGUAGCAGUGAAAUGCGUAGAUAUGCGGAGGAACACCGAUGGCGAAGGCAAUCCCCUGGACCUGUACUGACGCUCAUGCACGAAAGCGUGGGGAGCAAACAGGAUUAGAUACCCUGGUAGUCCACGCCCUAAACGAUGUCAACUGGUUGUUGGGUCUUCACUGACUCAGUAACGAAGCUAACGCGUGAAGUUGACCGCCUUGGGGGAGGUACGGUUCGUUGCGAGGUUAGGUUAACGUACGAAAGGAAGUUAGACGGCGUUGGAGGACGUUGCCGACGGACGACGACGAGGGGAGGUAGG